GAAGGUCCAGGCUGGUUUUGGGGCUCCCUCAUGAGAUCCUGGGUGGAUUUUGGUGGGUCUGGGGGAGGUUUGGGCAGGCCUGGCAGGAGCUGGGCUGGAAUGUCCACCUGGCCCUACCCGUGAGCAGCUCUAUCCAGGUCUGAACGGUCUCCGCUGACUCCGUGGCCUUGAUGUGCCUGAGGGUCUCAUCCAGCAGCACAUCCCCGGUGGGAGCAUCCGACUUCAGCAGCACCUGGCAGGGCAAAGGGGAUAGAAUGUUAAAAUAGAAUUNNNNNNNNNNUUUCCCCACUCCUGCCUCUCCAAAGGUUCCCAGAUUUCCAUGUUUCCCUGCUCCUGCCUCGCCAAAGCUUCCCAGAUUUUCAUAUUUCGUAUUUCGUUGUCUCUCCAAAGCUUCCCAGAUUUUCAUGUUUCCCUGCUCCUGCUUCUCCAAAGCUUCCCAUAUUUUCAUAUUUCGUAUUUCCUUGUCUCUCUAAAGCUUCCCAGAUUUUCAUGUUUCCCUGCUCCUCUCUCCAAACCCUCCCAAAUUUCCAGAUUUCCCUGCUCCUCUCUCCAAACCCUCCCAGAUUUCCAGAUUUCCCUGCUCCUCUCUCCAAACCCUCCCAGAUUUCCAAAGGGAUGUGGAAAAUCUUUUCCCCACCAGGUGAGAAGCUCCAAUUUUCCCCCUUCCUGCCCCAAAACCCCUCCAAACACUGAGCAGGCUGUGCCCUCCUGGCUGCAUGUUGGAUGAUUUUUAAAAACUCCCACUCUAUUUUCAGUCUCAUGUGAAGGCUGAGACAAUACAGGUGUUAUAAUUUAUACCAUCACAAUCAGAAGCUAAUUAUUUCUUAAUUACAAUACAUUAUAAUAAUUUUUUGGCUAAUCAGCUUUAGCCACACCAUGCUGUAAAUACCUUAAAGCAAAUUUAAAAUUACCCCUCGUGGGUCCUGCUACAAUACACCUUUCAUAAUUCUAUUUUUUCUAAAGUUAUCUAGUCUUAUUUACUAAACUAUCCUAUAAAAAUUGUUUCUAGCUCCAUUUCUCUCUCUGUCCUAUUCUAUAAUAUGUCUAAAUCAUCAUUUUUAAUCUCAAAGUUUACACACAGAUCACACCCUGUGUGACUUCUGUCAAGCUUUGAGAAUUCUCUACAAACUCCAAGAAUUCCAAUUUGAGAAAUUCUCUACAAAUUCAUUUCCCAUCACCACAAGGCACACCCAACUCCAGGGUGUAAAAAAAAAUCCACAGAAAAGUGAGAAAAGUGUCAAAAAUCGUCCAAUUUCACCCCUUGCCAUGGCAGGGACACCUCCCACUGUUUCCUUGGGCAUUUCCAGGCAGCCACAGCUUCUCUGGGCACCUGUGCCACCCUCCCAGGGAGGAAUUUCUUCCCAAAAUCCCAUCUAAACUUCCUCUCUGUCCAUUUGAAACCAUCCUCCCCUUGUCCUGUCCCUCCAGGUUCUCAUCCUGAGAGCUGCGAGCUCCAAAAGCCAAGAAUUUGGGAAAGGUGCAAAAGUUUGGGAAAUAAAACCCACAAAAAAAACCCA
RNAcentral lists this long non-coding RNA (1517 nucleotides) under Chloebia gouldiae (Gouldian finch). RNAcentral describes it as "Erythrura gouldiae (Gouldian finch) lncRNA (ENSEGOG00005011221.1)". The record is from RNAcentral. Lineage: Eukaryota; Metazoa; Chordata; Aves; Passeriformes; Passeridae.